AGAGUUUGAUCCUGGCUCAGAGCGAACGCUGGCGGCGUGCUUAACACAUGCAAGUCGAACGCGCAGCAAUCUGUAGCAAUACAGGUUGUGGGCGCGUGGCGAACGGGUGCGUAACACGUGGAUAACCUUCCUUCAGGUGGGGAAUAACCCAGUGAAAAUUGGGCUAAUACCGCAUAACAAAACGAUGAGACAUCUUGUUGUUUUCAAAGGCGCAAGUCGCCAGAAGAGGGAUCCGCGGCCGAUUAGCUUGUUGGCGGGGUAACGGCCCACCAAGGCAUUUAUCGGUAGCCGGACUGAGAGGUUGGCCGGCCACACUGGAACUGAGACACGGUCCAGACUCCUACGGGAGGCAGCAGUGGGGAAUCUUGCACAAUGGGCGAAAGCCUGAUGCAGCAACGCCGCGUGGGGGAUGAAGCUUCUCGGAGUGUAAACCCCUUUCGACCCGGAAGAAAGCCCGCAAGGGUUUGACGGUACGGGUAUAAGAAGCCCCGGCUAACUACGUGCCAGCAGCCGCGGUAAAACGUAGGGGGCCAGCGUUGCUCGGAAUUACUGGGCGUAAAGGGUCCGUAGGCGGUGUGGCAAGUCGGUAGUGAAAUCUCUAGGCUUAACCUAGAGGCUGCUGCCGAAACUGCCGUGCUAGAGUGUGAGAGAGGCGAGUGGAAUUACGGGUGUAGCGGUGAAAUGCGUAGAUAUCCGUAGGAACAUCCGAGGCGAAAGCGGCUCGCUGGAUCACAACUGACGCUGAGGGACGAAAGCUAGGGGAGCAAACAGAAUUAGAUACCCCCGUAGUCC
This 792-nucleotide ribosomal RNA is filed under the name uncultured bacterium. RNAcentral describes it as "bacterial SSU rRNA". It matches the Rfam family "Bacterial small subunit ribosomal RNA", at positions 8 to 796 of the family's 1533-position model. The record is from RNAcentral.